AAAUAAGCUUAUUUAAAUUUUUAGCCUUUAGCCAAGAAUAGUUGUUUGAAUUGUUGAGGACUUUGGGAGGAGAAUCAAAAAAUAAAACGAAUAUUUUUUCUUGGCUUUUCUUGGUUCCUGAUGAAUUGCCUGAUGCUACCAAUACUGCUUAGUUGUUAUUGUGUUGUCAAGAACUCGGUGCUGAGUUUGAAGUGAUUGAAGCAUUAGCCUCUGUGAAUAUCUACAAGGAUAUUUUCAAAGAAGUUUCGAAAACUCAGAUUCAAUACAAACUGGAAUGGAACCUGGUUUUAGUAUCAGGAUGAUGCUGGCCUCCUAAAAUGAAGAGUCCCUCUUUUUCUAUUAUUUGGAAUACUUUCAGAAGAAGUGGUACAAUAUCCUCUUUGUAUGUCUGAUAGAAUUUGGCUGCGAAUCUGUCUGGUCCUGGCCUUUUGUUGAAUCCCAUCAAGGACACCACAUUGCAUUUAGCAGUCAUGUCUCCUUAGGUUCCUCUUGGCUGCUACAGUUUCUCAAACUUUCUUUGCUUUUGAUCAUCUUGAUGGUUUUGUGGAGCUCUGAUCAGGUACAACUGGGAUUUGUGUGAUGUUUUUCUUAUGAGUAGACCUGGGUUAUUGUUCUUUUGGGAGGAAGACCACAGAUGCAAAAUACCAUUUUAAUCAAAUCAUAUCAAGGGUACAUACUAUCAAUAUGACUUAUCACUGUUCAUGUGGCUGAGGUAGUGCUUGUCAGAUUUCUCUGCUCUAAAGUCAUUCUUUUUUAGCCUUUAAUGCUAUACUCUUUAGAAGGAAGUCAUGAUGCAUAUUUCACACUUAAGGAGUGGAGAGCUAUGCUCCCCUUGAAAACAGGGCAUUGACAAAAAUUUUUUGAAAUUAAUAUACACCGGAAAUUUGUUUCUUGUCACCCAUGUAUUUAUUGAAUUGUUCAUUUAUUUAGAUCAUUCUGUACUAAUAAAUAUGUUAUACUUUAUAUUACAAUUUAAUACUACAGCAUUUAUUUUAUUGCUCC
RNAcentral lists this long non-coding RNA (1002 nucleotides) under Callithrix jacchus (white-tufted-ear marmoset). Its description in RNAcentral is "lncRNA (ENSCJAG00000078039.1)". The record is from RNAcentral. Lineage: Eukaryota; Metazoa; Chordata; Mammalia; Primates; Cebidae.